Esox lucius (northern pike) is the source of this 448-nucleotide long non-coding RNA. NCBI's taxonomy places the organism in Eukaryota, Metazoa, Chordata, Actinopteri, Esociformes, Esocidae. The record is from Ensembl.
UUCCAGCACACAUGUGGUUAAAUCCCAGGUCUUUUGACAGCUGGCCAGUGGAGCGCAUGCGCCGAAAACGUUAGUGACUUGAAUAGGAGGGAACAUAGCAACCACCAAAUAACCUCGAGAGCGCUGCACAUCAUCUACCCAAAAAAUUAUGUCCAUCUCACCGUCUUCACUUUUUCGAAGGUCUCCGUUUUAUGGACCUUGAAUGGCGCUGGUCACCGUUCAGCGUUCGCCAACACCCAGCACUACCUCCAGCCCCUGCGUGUCGGAAACAGGCAGCGGCGAGGAGGACCGACACUCCCAGCCCCGGAGAACAAUCUGACGUCAAGUGAACGGACGUUUUCUUUAACCUGCAGCAAAAGUUUAUUUUUUAGACACUUUUGGUCUAGCCUUUUUCAGUGAUGUUUUGUCCUAUAAAUCAGGAAUUCCUGACAUAAUUAUACAUUGUUUA